CAAUAGCGUAUAUUAAAGUUGUUGCAGUUAAAAAGCUCGUAGUUGGAUUUCUGAUCGAGACAUCAGGUCGGGUCCGAGAGGAUCAUGUACUUUGAUUUUGUUUUGAUCAUCCUUGGGGAGAGCAUUUCUGGCAUUCAGUUGUCGGGAUUGGGAUCCUCAUCGUUUACUGUGAAAAGAUUAGAGUGUUCAAAGCAGGCCUCGGCCUCUGAAUACAUUAGCAUGGAAUAAUAAGAUAGGACUUUGGUGGUCUAUUUUGUUGGUUUGCACGCCAAAGUAAUGAUUAAUAGGGAUAGUUGGGGGUAUUCGUAUUCAAUUGUCAGAGGUGAAAUUCUUGGAUUUAUGGAAGACGAACUACUGCGAAAGCAUUUACCAAGGAUGUUUUCAUUAA
Molecule: ribosomal RNA, 388 nt
Filed under: uncultured eukaryote
Lineage: Eukaryota
Description: partial 18S ribosomal RNA
Rfam family: Eukaryotic small subunit ribosomal RNA
Source: RNAcentral